UUAAAGCUGUACUUUUACUUGUACUUAAAGUACAAAUUAAGCAAAAUAAUCUACUUCAUUACUUUUAAAUCACAGUUCGUUACUGAGUACGCCCACAAUUUGAAUUGAUAUUCAAACUUUUGAAGGCACUUCAGCAGCCAAUAAAGAUAUCCGAUCGUAAAGGGACCAAUAAAAGCGCUGAUAUCUGAACCUGGAAUAGCGCCGCUGCAGCAGGUGUCAGGUGAAGAGCUGAUCAGACAGUGACGGAGCUCAGCGUCAUUUAUGGACUCAGAGCUUGGAGAAACAAACUACAUGUAUCUGAAUAUACACAGAUACAAUCUGCGUCUCUCUCUCCUCUCCGAGUGAGUUUGACGGUCAUCCGUCUCCUGUCAAUUACAGUCUGAAUAUCUGCGCGGGAUUGCAGGUAUUCCGCAUAAUUUUAAUAAUUCCCGCGCAAAUGUGGCGAGCGCUUUAUUGUAACAUGAGAACGCUGUCAUGUAAUCGCAGAAAACUGGAUGCGAUAUCUCAAAAUAGGACUAACUUAUACAAAUGAACUGCUUGUGCGCAGACUGUGUGCAGUCGCGAUCUCUCUGUGCUUUUAAAGUAGAAAUUAUUUCUCUGUGCUCCUGGAUUAAACUUUGUCAAAAGUUAUCAAACAUUCAGAAUAGAUCCACACCUGACUGAUGAAUAUCCUUCUAGAAAUGUUAUUGGUUGUAAGUGGAAUGCACCAGAAAGUCUUUAAACAAAGAUGAAACUUUAAUUUCUUUACCACGUACAUUUGUGCUAGAAAUGUGUUUGAAUAGGAUAUUUGUCUGAUUUGUAGGCUACAUAUUAAUAUCGUAGUCUGCCUAACUGCAUCACUUCAUUGUACAGUCAUUACAGGUCAAAGCCAUCUGAUGUUCAAUUUAUCCACAAAAAUAGGCC
Molecule: long non-coding RNA, 903 nt
Organism: Cyprinus carpio (common carp)
Lineage: Eukaryota; Metazoa; Chordata; Actinopteri; Cypriniformes; Cyprinidae
Exons: 2
Source: RefSeq, a predicted model, not a curated record